CCCCACAAGUCAUUCAGGCAUCUGAGAGA
RNAcentral lists this non-coding RNA (29 nucleotides) under Rattus norvegicus (Norway rat). Lineage: Eukaryota; Metazoa; Chordata; Mammalia; Rodentia; Muridae. The record is from RNAcentral.